This 827-nucleotide ribosomal RNA is filed under the name uncultured bacterium. RNAcentral describes it as "bacterial SSU rRNA". It matches the Rfam family "Bacterial small subunit ribosomal RNA", at positions 614 to 1441 of the family's 1533-position model. The record is from RNAcentral.
CAAANGUAUGCUUUGGAAACUGUUAGACUNGAGUGCAGAAGGGGAGAGUGGAAUUCCAUGUGUAGCGGUGAAAUGCGUAGGUAUAUGGAGGANCACCGGUGGCGAAAGCGGCUCUCUGGUCUGUCACUGACGCUGAGGCUCGAAAGCGUGGGUAGCGAACAGGAUUAGAUACCCUGGUAGUNCACGCCGUAAACGCUGAGUGCUAGGUGUUAGGUCCUUUCCGGGACUUAGUGCCGACGCUAACGCAUUAAGCACUCCGCCUGGGGAGUACGACCGCAAGGUUGAAACUCAAAGGAAUUGACGGGGGCCCGCACAAGCGGUGGAGCAUGUGGUUUAAUUCGAAGCAACGCGAAGAACCUUACCAGGUCUUGACAUCCCGAUGCCCGCUCUAGAGAUAGAGUUUUUCUUCGGAACAUCGGAGACAGGUGGUGCAUGGUUGUCGUCAGCUCGUGUCGUGAGAUGUUGGGUUAAGUCCCGCAACGAGCGCAACCCUUAUUGUUAGUUGCCAUCAUUAAGUUGGGCACUCUAGCGAGACUGCCGGUAAUAAACCGGAGGAAGGUGGGGAUGACGUCAAAUCAUCAUGCCCCUUAUGACCUGGGCUACACACGUGCUACAAUGGUUGGUACAACGAGUCGCAAGCCGGUGACGGCAAGCUAAUCUCUGAAAGCCAAUCUCAGUUCGGAUUGUAGGCUGCAACUCGCCUACAUGAAGUCGGAAUCGCUAGUAAUCGCGGAUCAGCACGCCGCGGUGAAUACGUUCCCGGGCCUUGUACACACCGCCCGUCACACCACGAGAGUUUGUAACACCCAAAGUCGGUGAGGUAACCA